This 301-nucleotide ribosomal RNA is filed under the name uncultured bacterium. Its description in RNAcentral is "partial 16S ribosomal RNA". It matches the Rfam family "Bacterial small subunit ribosomal RNA", at positions 509 to 809 of the family's 1533-position model. The record is from RNAcentral.
CAGCCGCCGCGGGAAUACGAAGGGGGCUAGCGUUGUUCGGAUUUACUGGGCGUAAAGCGCACGUAGGCGGAUCGAUCAGUCAGGGGUGAAAUCCCAGAGCUCAACUCUGGAACUGCCUUUGAUACUGUCGAUCUGGAGUAUGGAAGAGGUGAGUGGAAUUCCGAGUGUAGAGGUGAAAUUCGUAGAUAUUCGGAGGAACAUCAGUGGCGAAGGCGGCUCACUGGUCCAUUACUGACGCUGAGGUGCGAAAGCGUGGGGAGCAAACAGGAUUAGAGACCCCAGUAGUCCCUGUCUCUUAUAA